GCCAUUAUCUCAAAUUGUUGAUUUUAAAAGCACUUAAGACUCAUGUAAAUAAAAUCAGUGAUUUAUUAUUAACUAGAGUAAAUGACACUAAUCAAAAUAAGAUUUAGCUACCAAAUCUAAUAUAAGACGUUCCCAAAUAAAUCGACAAUCAUAAAAAAAUUAAACAAAUGAUAAGAGGAAAAGAAAAAUGAAAGACGCCAUAGGCGUCCCCAAGCGUUUUGCUUGUUUUCUUGCUAUCCGGGACAUUCUAAGGGGAUGCCAUGUAAUGACUCCAUGCAUGGGUAGUGUUGAGUCUCGAGUGCGACUCCAUUUUUUGCUCCAAGUAUAUAUGCAAAAGGAAAGGAGAAGAAAAUUAGAGGCGAAAAUUCAAUACAAGAAUGAAGCACGCAAGACAAGAGUACAACUAUUUUCUUCACUCUGCAAUAGACAAGAAAUCGAAGAACUGUAGCAAAUCAUAUACGAACAUUUUUCAAACUCGAGCACUAUUUUAACAUAUCUUUUUAAAGAGCAAUGUUCCAGCAAACAGGAGGUGUUUCUUACUUCUACAAAAGCUUUUAAAUUAACACAUAUAAGAUACCAACGCCUAAUAGCAUAACUAUAGGUGCAUACUAGUAUUUCAUUAUUAAAUAAGACAUAUGUAUUUUCAACAAAAUAUUUGAAAUCCAAGAAGCAUGAUGUACGAAGGAAAAGGCUUAGCAGUAAAAUAAGUUGAUAUCUAAAUUAGUCUUAGUAUCAUGACAAAAAUACCCUAUAUUCAAUAAAGAAGGUUGAAAAACACAUCAAGUUCCGGUUUAAUUCUCAUCAAAUAAUUGAGUCAAAAUUUAGUCUUACAGCAUGAUUUCUAAAUGACUAAAAGAUCUCAUAUCUAUUAUUUCACUCAUAUAGACAUGAUUCUUAAAGAAAAGCUUAAAGGUUACAACUCUUUUAUACAGUAUCUACAGAGGUAACAUGACAACUAAAUGUAUAACUGUAAGCUCUAAAUCAAUGUUAGUUCCAACAGAAUGUCUAUAUUUGCUACAAUACUUCAAGUAACCAUUGAACAUGAUAUAGGUUUGAUUCCUUUGAAUAUCUACUUAAAGAUGGUGAUUCUUAUAGGCAUUCUAUAUAACAGAAAAGAGACUCAAGUCAUGAUUCUGUUAGAAGAAUAACUCCUUUUUUUAAAGGAAUCUAGGCUAAGUGACCGAACCAUUCAGGCAAAAUAUGCAGAUAGCUAACCUCAAAUCUGUUCAUGUGAAUACAUAACAACUGAUGUACUAUUUCAUUUUAAAUUUUAUUCUAUUUAGCCAAAAUAACAACUUCUACAAACAUACGAGCUCUAUCUCAUAACUCUAUACAACAUAGCUCGUAACGGACACUUUAUGUGAAGAUUAAUCUCGAAUCAUAAUCACAAACCAACCAUAGCACUAUUUUAGAUAGAAAUAAAAUCUACCUUUGACCAGAAAAAAAAAACAGAAAGGAAUAGCUUAACCGUUACUGACCUUUUUGCGGGCAGUGAACAAGGGUAAGCCGCUAUCAGAUUCUAACCUCGAACUUGCUGUACUCGGGUAGUCGUCAAAUACCAGAACGAACGGAAACAAACACCACUGUUUUGGCUAAACGCCGACAGAGAAAGAGAUUAAAAGAGAGAGAGAGCUGAACCUUUUAAGAGUGUUUCUUUUAGGGAUAAUAACAAUAGUAGAUUUGUAGGAGUUAGCAAUGGCGGCUAAAACUCCGAGCUUUGGGGCGGCUCCAACCUCAAAUUUUGGGGUGAAAGGGGCGGCUAAGAGCUUAAGGUUAAAGAAGGGGGCUGAAGCUUGUGGGUUUAAAGAGAGGUGCUACGGCUCCAAAAGCUUUGCCCCAAUAUAUUUCAAAUGCAAGUAUUUAUAGGUGAAGAAGUAGGAUUCAUGUUUCAAAAUCCCAUGGUAGAGAACGAUCACGAGUAUUUUUGAUUCAAAAGAGCCGUUCGAGGCAGCUGAUUUUCAACGAGCAAGGUGUAGGUAUGACAGCAGAGAUUUUACCAAAAUUGCCUAAUCUCCUUCUGGCAUUGGGAAAAUAUAGAAGAAAAUGUAUAUAGAAUGGAAAGACUUUUGAAAAGAGAGAGAGAGAGAGAAAUUUUGGAAAAAGAGAAAAAUUGGGGAAAAAUGUCAAACAUUCCGAAAAGCAAAGAUUUUAUGGGGGAAAGGAGAUUGUUCACGUGAAGGAAGGACAAAACUUUU
This 2195-nucleotide long non-coding RNA is filed under the name Nicotiana tabacum (common tobacco). Its description in RNAcentral is "long non-coding RNA (NTAB_LNC014734)". Lineage: Eukaryota; Viridiplantae; Streptophyta; Magnoliopsida; Solanales; Solanaceae. The record is from RNAcentral.